RNAcentral lists this non-coding RNA (149 nucleotides) under uncultured Lachnospira sp. The record is from RNAcentral. Lineage: Bacteria; Bacillati; Bacillota; Clostridia; Lachnospirales; Lachnospiraceae.
UGGUAAAGGCUUAGUAGUUCUUAGUUGUGCUAUCAAAACUUAGUGAUGACCGCACAUGGACGUGCGGUCAAGCAAUCAGUAACACGAUGUCACAUUGAUUGCGUUCACGUUCGGCUUAAAAACUUUCUAGCACAACUUAGAACUACUUA